This 838-nucleotide long non-coding RNA is filed under the name Homo sapiens (human). RNAcentral's name for it is "non-protein coding lnc-SEH1L-4:1". Lineage: Eukaryota; Metazoa; Chordata; Mammalia; Primates; Hominidae. The record is from RNAcentral.
CUGCGCCGCGUGGCUCGCCCCCGGGACUUGCCAGCAGCGAGUGGGGCCUGACUAGCUCUUCACCACGCUCCACUGCAUCGGCAAGGGCUGGUUCUGGGAGAGGCGCAAGGGCAUCGACCUCCGCACCAAUCAGGUGGUGGUCAUUAGGGCAGUGGACCCGGAGGAGGCCGAGGACGCCCAGCAGGAGAACCCUGCGCUCAGCUGUGCUACAGCCCCGAGUCACCGCUGCUCUUGCUGCUCUCUGUGAGUUUCCCCCGGAGGCCCAGAGCGGCGGCAGCGCGCAAGACUUGCAGAACUCGGGCCCCCUGGAGGAGACCUAACCGCCACGGUCUUGGGGAGGUUCCGGAGGGCCUCGGUUGUCUGCACUCCCAACACCAAGAAACCCCUGAGACGCGAAGCUGCCAGCGUGCUGCCCUCAGAGCAGGGCGACGCAAAGCCAGCGGACCCCGGGGUGGCGGGGCAGCCCACAGACACGCAGGUCGACUGGAACAGUUCUUGGCAGCCUCUUCUGGAGGGCGUCUGAGGUCGUCAGCAGCGGCCUACGACUUCAAGGCAGGCUUCUGACCCCUGGGGAUCACGCCCAUCGGACUAGCCAAGGAGGAGCCUUCGCACUCCGACCUGCACCGCAUGCGCGCCCAGUUCCUGAUCCCCAAGAGCAGCCCGUCUGAGCUGGAGGACCGCGGCAAGCCCUUGGAGGAGCUGGCAGGCCUGGCCCGACGAGGACCCCGCGUCCUGACACUGUCAAGGAGCUCCGGGAGCGCAAGGCGACCGCGCGCUCCGCCAACACCUUUUCUUCCGGGGUUCAUGGGCGCUGCCGGCGCUGGAAAUCCCAGGGGCA